UACGGGGGGAGCAAGCGUUGUUCGGAUUUACUGGGCGUAAAGGGCGCGUAGGCGGUCGUGACAAGUCACUUGUGAAAUCUCCGGGCUUAACUCGGAACGGUCAAGUGAUACUGUCGGACUAGAGUACAGAAGGGGCAACUGGAAUUCUCGGUGUAGCGGUGAAAUGCGUAGAUAUCGAGAGGAACACCUGCGGCGAAGGCGGGUUGCUGGGCCGACACUGACGCUGAGGCGCGAAAG
Molecule: ribosomal RNA, 237 nt
Filed under: uncultured bacterium
Lineage: Bacteria
Description: partial 16S ribosomal RNA
Rfam family: Bacterial small subunit ribosomal RNA
Source: RNAcentral